This 64-nucleotide transfer RNA is filed under the name Atherina boyeri (big-scale sand smelt). Its description in RNAcentral is "tRNA-Cys". The record is from RNAcentral. Lineage: Eukaryota; Metazoa; Chordata; Actinopteri; Atheriniformes; Atherinidae.
GCCCUGGGGUGUCAUCACGCAGGAUUGCAAAUCCUGAAAGGCAGGCUAAUACCUGCCGGGGCUU